This 492-nucleotide ribosomal RNA is filed under the name uncultured bacterium. RNAcentral's name for it is "partial 16S ribosomal RNA". It matches the Rfam family "Bacterial small subunit ribosomal RNA", at positions 29 to 507 of the family's 1533-position model. The record is from RNAcentral.
AGUGAACGCUGGCGGUAGGCCUAACACAUGCAAGUCGAACGGCAGCACAGUAAGAGCUUGCUCUUACGGGUGGCGAGUGGCGGACGGGUGAGGAAUAAAUCGGAAUCUACUUUUUCGUGGGGGAUAACGUAGGGAAACUUACGCUAAUACCGCAUACGACCUACGGGUGAAAGCAGGGGAUCUUCGGACCUUGCGCGAUUGAAUGAGCCGAUGUCGGAUUAGCUAGUUGGCGGGGUAAAGGCCCACCAAGGCGACGAUCCGUAGCUGGUCUGAGAGGAUGAUCAGCCACACUGGAACUGAGACACGGCCCAGACUCCUACGGGAGGCAGCAGUGGGGAAUAUUGGACAAUGGGCGCAAGCCUGAUCCAGCCAUACCGCGUGGGUGAAGAAGGCCUUCGGGUUGUAAAGCCCUUUUGUUGGGAAAGAAAAGCAGCAGGUUAAUACCCCGCUGUUCUGACGGUACCCAAAGAAUAAGCACCGGCUAACUUCGUG